UGGAGCCUGUGUACUUCGUCCUGUCC
RNAcentral lists this non-coding RNA (26 nucleotides) under Homo sapiens (human). The record is from RNAcentral. Lineage: Eukaryota; Metazoa; Chordata; Mammalia; Primates; Hominidae.